This 78-nucleotide transfer RNA is filed under the name Nitrososphaerota archaeon. RNAcentral's name for it is "tRNA-Glu". It matches the Rfam family "tRNA". Rfam says of the family: Transfer RNA (tRNA) molecules are approximately 80 nucleotides in length. RNAcentral also lists the same sequence under 6 other names. Lineage: Archaea; Thermoproteati; Nitrososphaerota. The record is from RNAcentral.
GCUCCGGUCGUAUAGUCCGGUCAAGUAUACUGGCCUUUCGAGCCAGUGACCCGGGUUCAAAUCCCGGCCGGAGCACCA